This is an RNA transcript of Lemur catta (Ring-tailed lemur), 1536 nucleotides long. It is a transcript of the gene named RNA pseudouridine synthase D3, with no coding region annotated. The record is from RefSeq and is a predicted model, not a curated record. Lineage: Eukaryota; Metazoa; Chordata; Mammalia; Primates; Lemuridae. The transcript is spliced from 10 exons.
ACGAGGGCUGCCCUUCCGGACACACAUGCGCUCUGGCCACGCUCGGGAGAUGGACGGCUGUGGCGUUUGGGGCCGGGUCUGGGGUGGCUGGCGGCGGGGCCUGAGGGUCUGCGCAGCGCCCAAGGACGCAGGCUUUGUCACCAGGGCCCGGCAUCAGCUGCAACCUAGAGGCUCCAGCAAACGGCUGGGGCCCCUCGGGGACCAGCCCUUCCUGGGGCUGCUGCAGCCAAAGAACCUCAGUCGGGAGGAGUUGGUUGAGGUGCUGCGGGCAGCCGUGGUGGACCAGAAAGGACCUCUAGUGACACUGAAUAAGCCACAGGGUCUGCCAGUAACAGGAAAACCAGAAGAGCUGACAUUGCUCUCAGUGCUGCCAGAGCUGAGCCAGUCCCUGGGGCUUGGGAAGCAGGAGCUCCAAGUUGUCCGAGCACCUGGGAAGGAGACUUCUGGGCUUGUGCUCCUUUCCAGUUGUCCCCAGACAGCAAGUCGCCUCCAGAAAUUCUUCGCCCACUCAUGGAGAGCCCAGAGACCCACAGCCACCUAUUGUGCUGUCACCGAUGGGAUCCCAGCUAUUUCUGAGGGGAAGAUCCAAGCAGCUUUGAAACUGGAACAUACUGAUGCAGUCAAUCUUGUAGUUCCAGUGAAGAACCCCUCCCGAAAGGACAUCCUAGAAGGUGUCAAGAAGACCCUCAGCCACUUCCGUGUGGUGGCCACAAGCUCUGGCUGUGCCCUGGUCCAGCUGCAGCCAGUGACAGUGUUCCCCAGUCAGCUGCAAGUGCACAUGGUACUACAGCUCUGUCCUGUGCUCGGGGACCACAUGUACGCUGCUCGCGUGGGCACUGUCCUGGGCCAGCGCUUUCUGCUGCCAGCUGAGAGCACCAAACCCCAAAAACAGGUCCUGGCUGAAGCUCUCCUCAGUCGCCUCCGCCUGACCCCCGCCCAGGCCGCCCAGCUGCCCUUGCACCUCCACCUGCAUCGUCUCUGCCUCCCAGGCAUGAGGCCCAGGGACGCCCCUGUCGAGCUCCUGGCACCUCUGCCCCCUUAUUUCUCCAGGACCCUACAAUGUCUGGGGCUGCACCAACAAUAGUCCCCCCUCUCCUCUGUUCCUGACCCCUCACUGAAAAGCAAGGGGUGCUGCAGCCAGGCCCAAGGAGAAUGAGUUGGUUGAAUCUGUGGAUGUGGAGCCUGUGGACAAGGAGGGCUGACUAAUUAUGAAGUGACACCCACAUAACCCCCACUUGGUACGGGAAAUAGAAGCCCCCUCUUCUUUCUUGUAGAGCAGCAAUUCUCAAUGCUGGCCCCACAGCCCCUUCAGGAAACUGAAGUCCCCAUGCCGCCCCCUGACUCUGCACCCCAAAGAUUCUGGUUUACUGGGCCUAGAGUGGAGACCUUGGCACCAAUGGCAACUUUCUAAAAGUUCCCGAAGGGGUUCUACUAUUCUAGGUUGGAAACCACCGGCCUGACUUGGGAGAAUUCUUUGCUUUUCUUUUUUUAACCACAUACAUAGGCAUCCCUAAACAAUAUACGUAUUUCAUUUCA